CUAUUUGGUUGUGCGCGUCUCGGCCCACAGGAGACGUUGUUGGAGGCGAGGCCGCACGUGGGAAAAGGGACAUCCAGGUGUCAGAUCAAAUGCAAGCCACGAAGACCCAAUGUCUGUUUGAGAACAAGUCCUCAGAGAUGCCAGGAAGGACCCGAGUUUCCAAAUGGAACUACACACUCACAAAGUUCCUUUGCAGUUCCCUCUACAGUUA
Long non-coding RNA from Eptesicus fuscus (big brown bat), 211 nucleotides. RefSeq lists it as uncharacterized. NCBI's taxonomy places the organism in Eukaryota, Metazoa, Chordata, Mammalia, Chiroptera, Vespertilionidae. The record is from RefSeq and is a predicted model, not a curated record. The transcript has 3 exons.